UACAUACUUGCUCAAUGGUAGAGCGAUCGACUAUUACUCGAUUGGUUGCAGGUUCAAAUCCUGCGUAUGAACCA
This 74-nucleotide transfer RNA is filed under the name Microcoleus sp. FACHB-1515. RNAcentral's name for it is "tRNA-Asn". It matches the Rfam family "tRNA". From Rfam's summary of the family: Transfer RNA (tRNA) molecules are approximately 80 nucleotides in length. Their secondary structure includes four short double-helical elements and three loops (D, anti-codon, and T loops). Lineage: Bacteria; Bacillati; Cyanobacteriota; Cyanophyceae; Oscillatoriales; Microcoleaceae. The record is from RNAcentral. RNAcentral also lists the same sequence under 1 other name.